Molecule: transfer-messenger RNA, 365 nt
Filed under: Rodentibacter haemolyticus
Lineage: Bacteria; Pseudomonadati; Pseudomonadota; Gammaproteobacteria; Pasteurellales; Pasteurellaceae
Description: Standard tmRNA
Rfam family: transfer-messenger RNA
About the family: Bacterial tmRNA, also known as 10Sa RNA or SsrA, is named for its dual tRNA and mRNA-like properties. Its role is to liberate the mRNA from a stalled ribosome. To accomplish this part of the tmRNA is used as a reading frame that ends in a translation stop signal.
Source: RNAcentral
GGGGCUGAUUCUGGAUUCGACGGGAUUAGCGAAGCCCAAGGUGCACGUCGAGGUGCGGUAGGCCUCGUAAAUAAACCGCAAAAAAAUAGUCGCAAACGACGAACAAUACGCUUUAGCAGCUUAAUAACCUGCAUUUAGCCUUCGCGCCCCAGCUUCCGCUCGUAAGACGGGGAGUUUGCGGAGUCAACCCAAAACGAGAUCGUGUGGAAGCCGCCGUUUGAGGAUCGAAGCAUUAAAUUAAAUCAAACUAGUUCAAGUUUAGCGUGUCUGUUCGCAUACUUGAAUGAAAUUAAAGACCGACUAAACGUGUAGUACUGAAGGUAGAGUAAUUUCGGACGCGGGUUCAACUCCCGCCAGCUCCACCA